UAGAAAUGUAAUGGAUAUAAAGCUUAUGUUUAUAUAUA
This 38-nucleotide ribosomal RNA is filed under the name Neurospora crassa. Its description in RNAcentral is "partial 24S ribosomal RNA". The record is from RNAcentral. Lineage: Eukaryota; Fungi; Ascomycota; Sordariomycetes; Sordariales; Sordariaceae.